RNAcentral lists this unclassified non-coding RNA (225 nucleotides) under Hevea brasiliensis (rubber tree). Lineage: Eukaryota; Viridiplantae; Streptophyta; Magnoliopsida; Malpighiales; Euphorbiaceae. The record is from RNAcentral.
GCUAUAGUUAAAUAACUGGUACAUGCUGUCCAUACUUCACAGCAUUAUGCUAUUAUAGAUUAUGAACAUUGGAUCUUUGGUGUCAAAUCUUUUUGCUAGUUUUUAAUGCUUUAGAAAGUCAUGCAUAAAAUGGGUUAUCAUUGCCUCCCAAAGGGAAAAACAAAGAAAGAAGAGAUUCAAUAUACUGUUUGUAGGAGAUAAAUCCUGGAUAUGUUAUAUAGCCAU